Molecule: long non-coding RNA, 1395 nt
Organism: Phascolarctos cinereus (koala)
Lineage: Eukaryota; Metazoa; Chordata; Mammalia; Diprotodontia; Phascolarctidae
Source: RefSeq, a predicted model, not a curated record
UUCAGUAUUGGAAGUGCCUGGGGAUGUCAAUUCUGGGAGGACAGGGUUAGCCUAGUAUGGGGCUAGCCCGGUGCAGGUUUAGCCCAGUGCCAGGAUUAGCCAGUGUGGUUAGAGCAGAGAGACCACAGACUUUGAAUUUGGGGCGCUCUUUCUGGGUUUGAAAAAAUGAAAAACAAAACCCUCCAAACCCUCACUUCCUCUUGCUUCAGUGCUACUACCAAAAGAGCCUCCAUCUAGAUCAGUGCUGCACGCAUGGAAAAGGUCCAUGAGGAAAACAAGACAGGCUUAUGGUGAAUUUCCAGUUACUUCAGGUAUGGGUCAGUGGGGUGUCAUCUAACAUGACCUGUAAGGGAAAUGGAAUACUUGGCCGAGGAUGAAAACCACAGUCUGAUUGAGCAUAGUUCACAUGCUCUGAUGGGUUAAAGGAUUUACCUGAGGCCAAAUGAACAUUCUCUUGGAUAUUGAAGAUGUCAGGAAAAUGAGAAUAUCUGCUUGACCAGGAGAUCAAUUUAUCACAAAAAACCCUAAAACUGAACAGUGAUGAUGCUCAUUAAAAAAACAAAACUGAAAACUGGUUGGGAGUCAUUUCCUACCCUUAGCAGAUGUUCUGAAAACGUGAGUUUUCCAGUUCUGGUCCUCGGAUAAAGGAGAAGCAAAGAAAGCCCAUCGUCAGUGAACAAGGUUCUAACGUGAAGAGGUGGUGCCUGUAGACGUCCUGCUUGGAGCCCUGGGAUUAGAGGAAGUUGAGACGAGUCAGAGGUCCCCUAGGCCACCCCCACCCUGCCAUCCCUUGAGGCUAAGUGACAUGUCUAAGGUCUCCAGGUAACUGUGGCAGAACUGGGGUUGGGACCUCUGUCAUUCCACUGUAGUGCCCUCCCACACGCACCGGCUGGUAGGGAGCCUUUCCAAAGAGGUACCAUCUGCAGUUCUAUUUGGGAAAGAAUAUGGCUCAUCUAGACCAAAGCAUCCUUAAAAAGCCUAACACAGUGGAGCCAAGCCUAGUGAUAGAGCCUCUUCCCGGCUCUGGUUCCAUACCCCAGCUUCCUUCAGAACUGAGCCAGAAGAGGCCUCAGAGAUCUCUUUGUAGAUGAGCAAAUGAAGGGUGCUUCCUUGGAUGAGGUCACCCCAGGUGGGGCUGGAAUUUGGGCCAGAGGCCUUUUGCCUCUGAGUCCAAUAUUCUUCCUACUUUGAAAGAGGCUUCAUCUGUCAACACAGCCGAAGGGCACUUUUUUUCUUUAAUGAAGUUAUUUAUUUACUUUUAAUUUUCAACAUUCAUUUCCAUAACAUUUAGAGUUACAAAUUUUCUCCCCAUCUUUCCCCUCCCCUACCCCAAAAUGGGAUGUAAAUUGAUAUAGGCUCAACAUAUUCAUUCACAUUAAACCUAUUUUUACAUUC